AAGAAAUCUAGGUUGCCUCCUAGUAGCGCUUGUUUAACGUCACAAGCCUGACCCAAACCUGGUUGCACUUGUCAGUAAGUGCACUACCUUCCACCACCCAUCAGUAGGUGUACUUUCCGGAUAUCCUUCAGUGGAUACCUAUAUCUUCUAACAUCCCCCAGUAGAUGGUAUCCCGGUAGCAUUCACAAGUAAAUGCUAAUCUUUCUAAUCUUCAUUGGCAUCCAUCAAUAAAUGUCAUAUCACCUAACAUCCAUCAGUAGAUGUUGUAGAAGCAUCCAUCAGUAGAUGUUAUCAUCACUACCAUCAGAAGUCGCGCAUAUCCCAAAAAUAAAUAAAAUAAAAUAAAACAAAAUAAAACCAAAUCAAAUAAAAUAAAAAAAAUCAAAUAAAAUAAAAUAAAAUAAAUCAAAUCAAAUCAAAACGAAAUUGAAAAAAAUUCAGAAACUGGGUUGCCUCCCAGCAAGCGCUCUUUUAACGUCAUUAGCUUGACCCGAUAAAGCCCAAACACCCCUCAGUAGGUGUUGAUUUUUAACGUUGACGUUCUUCC
Molecule: long non-coding RNA, 547 nt
Filed under: Vigna radiata
Lineage: Eukaryota; Viridiplantae; Streptophyta; Magnoliopsida; Fabales; Fabaceae
Description: long non-coding RNA (VRAD_LNC008449)
Source: RNAcentral